Molecule: ribosomal RNA, 507 nt
Filed under: uncultured Glomeromycotina
Lineage: Eukaryota; Fungi; Glomeromycota
Description: SSU rRNA
Rfam family: Eukaryotic small subunit ribosomal RNA
Source: RNAcentral
AGCAGCCGCGGUAAUUCCAGCUUCAAUAGCGUAUAUUAAAGUUGUUGCAGUUAAAAAGCUCGUAGUUGAAUUUCGGGGUUAGUAGGCUGGUCAUGCCUCUGGUAUGUACUGGUCUCACUGAUUCCUCCUUCCUGAUGAACCUUAAUGCCAUUAAUUUGGUGUUUUGGGGAAUUUGGACUGUUACUUUGAAAAAAUUAGAGUGUUUAAAGCAAGCCAACGCUUGAAUACAUUAGCAUGGAAUAAUGAAAUAGGACGUUCGAUCCUAUUUUGUUGGUUUCUAGGAUUGACGUAAUGAUUAAUAGGGAUAGUUGGGGGCAUUAGUAUUCAAUUGUCAGAGGUGAAAUUCUUGGAUUUAUUGAAGACUAACUACUGCGAAAGCAUUUGCCAAGGAUGUUUUCAUUAAUCAAGAACGAAAGUUAGGGGAUCGAAGACGAUCAGAUACCGUCGUAGUCUUAACCAUAAACUAUGCCGACUAGGGAUCGGAUGAUGUUAAUUUUUUAAUGACUC